AAUGCUUAGGAAUCUGCCUAUUAGUGGGGGACAACAUUCCGAAAGGAAUGCUAAUACCGCAUACGCCCUACGGGGGAAAGCAGGGGAUCUUCGGACCUUGCGCUAAUAGAUGAGCCUAAGUCAGAUUAGCUAGUUGGUGGGGUAAAGGCCUACCAAGGCGACGAUCUGUAGCGGGCCUGAGAGGAUGAUCCGCCACACUGGGACUGAGACACGGCCCAGACUCCUACGGGAGGCAGCAGUGGGGAAUAUUGGACAAUGGGCGCAAGCCUGAUCCAGCCAUGCUGCGUGUGUGAAGAAGGCCUUUUGGUUGUAAAGCACUUUAAGCGAGGAGGAGGCUACUUGGAUUAAUACUCUAGGAUAGUGGACGUUACUCGCAGAAUAAGCACCGGCUAACUCUGUGCCAGCAGCCGCGGUAAUACAGAGGGUGCGAGCGUUAAUCGGAUUUACUGGGCGUAAAGCGUGCGUAGGCGGCUUCUUAAGUCGGAUGUGAAAUCCCUGAGCUUAACUUAGGAAUUGCAUUCGAUACUGGGAAGCUAGAGUAUGGGAGAGGAUGGUAGAAUUCCAGGUGUAGCGGUGAAAUGCGUAGAGAUCUGGAGG
RNAcentral lists this ribosomal RNA (597 nucleotides) under uncultured bacterium. RNAcentral describes it as "bacterial SSU rRNA". It matches the Rfam family "Bacterial small subunit ribosomal RNA", at positions 112 to 704 of the family's 1533-position model. The record is from RNAcentral.